CAGCAGCCGCGGGAACACGAAGGGGGCUAGCGUUGUUCGGAUUUACUGGGCGUAAAGCGCACGUAGGCGGACUUUUAAGUCAGGGGUGAAAUCCCGGGGCUCAACCCCGGAACUGCCUUUGAUACUGGAAGUCUUGAGUAUGGUAGAGGUGAGUGGAAUUCCGAGUGUAGAGGUGAAAUUCGUAGAUAUUCGGAGGAACACCAGUGGCGAAGGCGGCUCACUGGACCAUUACUGACGCUGAGGUGCGAAAGCGUGGGGAGCAAACAGGAUUAGAUACCCCAGUAGUCCCUGUCUCUUAUAC
This 301-nucleotide ribosomal RNA is filed under the name uncultured bacterium. RNAcentral describes it as "partial 16S ribosomal RNA". It matches the Rfam family "Bacterial small subunit ribosomal RNA", at positions 509 to 807 of the family's 1533-position model. The record is from RNAcentral.